This is a non-coding RNA of Monodelphis domestica (gray short-tailed opossum), 4029 nucleotides long. Lineage: Eukaryota; Metazoa; Chordata; Mammalia; Didelphimorphia; Didelphidae. The record is from RefSeq and is a predicted model, not a curated record.
GGCCUUAAACCGGGUGUGUCAAAUGUGGGAGGGGCCUUAAAGAGGGAGUUUCACAGGUGGGAUGCCCCUAAAACAGGGUGUGUCGCCCCUAAAACAGGGUGUUUCAAACCUGGGAGACCCCUUAAAUAGGAAAUGUCAGAGCUGGGAGGAGACAUAGAAGAGGGAAUGGCAGAGUUUGGAACGACAUAGGAACAGAGAGUGUCACAGGAACCAGUGGACCUGCCAGGCACCUGGGCCACGUCACUUACAGCACAUCAUAGAAGAAGGGGCACUGCAAUUGGCAUUAAGAGGAUCUGAGUUUAAGUUCCACCUGUGACGCAAUAACAGCUUCUUCUUUGCCUCAGUUUCUCCACAUUUAAAAGGGUCAAUGGCCCUUAAGAUUUCUUCUACCUCUGAAGAAUUCAGCUGAGCUGUUUUUUUAACCCAAAAUAGAAGGGAUGGCCUCUGGCAACUAAUGAAAAAUGGACGCAAGGGCAGAAAUGGAAUUCCUCCAAGAGAUCCAGGAAGUGUGGGGGUCACUGGCUUGGGAGGAAGGAAGGGGUGGGAUGGGGGGAACAUGGGAGAAUGGGGCUCCUGCCUCUCCAUUGACUGUGAGAUUUAAUCAAGAAAACCUCAAGGAUUCUGUCCCCAGGCCUGAAGGGAAGACAGAAGCGUCAUAAAAAUAAUUCAUGUUUCUGGAGCCUUAAAGUACUCAUUGUAUUACACAAUGAGGUUUCACCCGCUAAGGUAAUAAUGAUUGUCAUCGUUAUUAUGAUUAAGAGUAAUAAUAAUAAUAAUAGCUAGUAUUUGUAUAACAGUUUGAUUUCCACUCAGAAGAAAAUCUCUCUUGGAGUGUCCCAGGACUCUGUUCUGUUUAACAUUUUUGUCAGUGACCUAGUCAAAGGCAUAUUCAUCAAAUUCAAAGAUAACACAAGGCUGGGAGAGAGAGACCUACCACAUUGGAUGACACGAGGAUCCAAAAGAAUCUUCCAAACCUAGAAGAGUAUUUGAAUCCAGUCUACUAAGGAAGAUGUAAAGUCUUAUACUCAGGUACCGAAAAAUCCAUUUCACGUUUACAAGAUGGAGGAGACAUGGCUAGACAGCCAUUUUGUAGGAGCAUUAUGGGAGUUUUAAUGGGCUGUGAACUUAAUAAAAGUCAACAGUAUUAUGUGACAGCCAAAAAAGCAGGUGCCAUCUUGGGCUGCAUUGAAGGGCAGAGCAUCAUCAUCAUCAUCAGAAUAAUAAUAACGAUAAUAAUAAUAAUAAAAAACAAGAGAAAGGACCAUCCAUCAGUGAGAGAAAACUUGCCUUUUGUUCCAUCCAACACUAUUUCCAUGCUCAUGUUGUCUUAAGACACAUCUGUGAAUAUACCUUUGAAUAAAUGCAAAGAAAUGUUUAAAAGGAAAGGAGGUAGCUGAAGCUAAAGAUAAUGCUUUUCUAAAUUCAAAGUCUCUAAGUCUAGUCAUGUCUAGUCAACUAAGCUUUUGAAAAUGUGCCAGGUAUAAGGAGGUGAUGAGAUCAUAGCUAAGUAGCAUGUUGGGUUCUGAGUCCUUUGGUUUAAGAAGAGCAUUGAUAAACUGGAGAACGUUCAGAGGAGGGCAUUCAAGGGGCCUGGAAUCCAGGGCAUUUGAGGCCCACUGGAAGCUCUUUUGUAUGCCUAGGCUGGAGAAAGGCAGACUCAAGAGGCCCCUUGAUAGCUGUCUUUAUGUGUUCGAAUGGUUGCCAAUGGGAAGCACGAUUUGACUUGUUCUGUUUGGUCCCAGUUGGAAGAACCAAGAUCAAGCAGUAGAAGUUGUAGCGUUCUGAAGUAGUCAAGAUAGAAGUUCAGCUGUUGGGGUCAGAGGCAGAUCAAAGCAGAUUUUCUUUCAUAUUAGUUUAUUUAGGGUUUUAUUUGGGGUUUUGGUUUCAUAUGAAUAUUCUCUUACAACAAGGACCAAUAUGGAAGCAUGUAUUGCAUGAUAACACAUGUAUAACCCGGGUCAAACUGUUUACCAGCUCCAAAAGCGGGGAGGGGAGGGAGAGAGGAAAUCCAAAUCCUAAAAUGUCAGAGAAGAGUUGUCACAAAUUGUUCCUCCAUGCAACUGAAAAAAUUCUAUCUGUCUGUCUGUAUUUAUUUGUGUAGCAGUCAGAUUGCCUUAGAAGAGAGCAUGUUUAGUCUUGAGCAUGCUCGGUAUUGCUCAUGGCUGGGAAGGCCUCUGACCCUUGACCCCAGCUUCUCCCAGGUUAGGCGGGAAAACAGGUUUCUUUGUUCUCACUUGGUUAAGAGAAACCACACCUAUGCCUUGUCAUUGACCAAUGAGGGUCAUCCCUAUGUACUACGUAGCAAAGGGUAUUUAUGGCCCAGCAAGCUCCGCCUCGCCCCCUCUCUCUCUCUCUUUCAGGCUAGCUGAUGGCUGUCCUUGCAGGAGCUUGGCCAGAGGCCAAGCUCCAUCUUUAAUCUUUCUCUAUUCAUCUCUCUGACCUGUGUGGUAUUAAAUAUGGAUCUUGGACUGGUAAAAGCCUUCGGAAUAGUCCUUUGAUCAGAGCUUGGCUGUGGCUCAUUGAUAAUUAAUAAAGACUCAUUCUGACCACCUCAUAUCUCUAAUAGGACUCCGUCAUCCCCCUCGUGGUAUCAAAAACUUCUAUCCUGUCUCUAUCUUCCUACCUUGUGGCUUCUCUCCCCUCUGAGAGACCACAAUCUGUCUCAUGGACCUCUGUUUCCAGGAGAAGCUGGGGGCCAUUAAAAGCAUAGCCCAGCUUCCAAAAGCAAUCGGUCCCAUUCUUCUCCCUGAGUUCAUCUCAUUGGCUUGUAUACAGUGUCCUUACGAGAUAAAUGGACCUCUGGAUAGAGAGAUGAUGAACAUAGAUUGUAAACUGAGGCAUACUUUAAAGCACAGUCAGUGCAGGAACCUAUCUGGUUUUACUAUACAUGCUUAUACCAGGGAUUUUGUUCUUGAUUUCUUAGUGGAAGAAAGAGAGAGAGAAUGCAGGUGUGAAAACAAAAUAAAAUUUAAUUAGAAAGAAAGAACCCAGAUAUGUAGACUGAUGGACCAACUCAAAGAGCUAUCCUUUUCAUUUCAUAACCAUUCAGACUGCCACAUAAGCACCGGUUGUUUCUUGUCUGUUAAAAUAAAAUCCAUUCUCUCCUUCUCUCACUAUCUCUCUGUCUCCCUCUCCCUCUCUCUGUCUCUUUCUCUCCCUCUCUCUCUCUGUCUCUCUGUCUCCCUCUCUCGGUCUCUCUCUCCUUCCCUCUCACUCCGUCUCUGUCUCUCUGUAUCUCUCUCUGUCUCUCUCUCCCUCUCUCUCUUUCUCUCUGUCUCUCUGUCUUGCUCUCUGUCUCUGUCUCUCUGUCUCUUUCUCCCUCUCUCUUUCUGUCUCUCUCUCUGUCGUCUCUCUCUCCCUCUCCCUCCCUCUCUGUCACUCUGCCUCUCCCUCUCCCUCUCUUUCUCUGUCUCUGUCUCUCUGUCUGUCUCUCUGUCUUUCCCUCCCCCUCUCUCCCACUCUUUCUCUGUCUUUCCCUCCCCCUCUCUCCCACUCUCUCUGUCUCUCCUUCUCUCUGUCUCUUUCCCUGUCUCUUUGUCUUUCUCCCUCACACACACCCUCUGUGUGUGUACAAUGGUAUUUGGUGGUUGACUUGGCCAAUGUUUCUUAACUUUCUUCCUGAAGAAAACCAUCGUGGUUAUUGGUGGUGACCUUAUGUUUGGUACCCUUGCGUCGUGUUUUCUGGGGUUUUGCCAUCCUCCUCUGUGCCCACCUUUGCACUGAAGUUGCCCUCACCACACCAAGGGUUAACGUAUAUGUUGACUUCAUGGGGAGGAUCUUAAGUUCUUCCAAGAAUUUCUCAACUCUUAAUCCUCUGGAACAGAUGUUGGUGAAUAAGCUGCAAUUAGCUUCAUGGUGGUCUUUUGGAAAUGCUGCUUAUGAGCAGUGUGUUCUGAGGUGACCAAAUGUCCCAUGAAGUGAUGGUUUCUGAUGCCUUUGGCCACACAAUAAAGCCGCCUCUUUUCUUUGUGCCUCCAGUGAGAACCUGUGAGUGAUUGUUCCAAUUAACUACAACUUCCUUCAUUCUUU